Molecule: ribosomal RNA, 427 nt
Filed under: uncultured bacterium
Lineage: Bacteria
Description: partial 16S ribosomal RNA
Rfam family: Bacterial small subunit ribosomal RNA
Source: RNAcentral
UGGGGAAUAUUGGACAAUGGGCGAAAGCCUGAUCCAGCCAUGCCGCGUGUGUGAAGAAGGUCUUCGGAUUGUAAAGCACUUUAAGUUGGGAGGAAGGGCAUUAACCUAAUACGUUAGUGUUUUGACGUUACCGACAGAAUAAGCACCGGCUAACUCUGUGCCAGCAGCCGCGGUAAUACAGAGGGUGCAAGCGUUAAUCGGAAUUACUGGGCGUAAAGCGCGCGUAGGUGGUUUGUUAAGUUGGAUGUGAAAUCCCCGGGCUCAACCUGGGAACUGCAUUCAAAACUGACUGACUAGAGUAUGGUAGAGGGUGGUGGAAUUUCCUGUGUAGCGGUGAAAUGCGUAGAUAUAGGAAGGAACACCAGUGGCGAAGGCGACCACCUGGACUAAUACUGACACUGAGGUGCGAAAGCGUGUGGAUCAAACA